GUUUAUGGUACCCAUUUGGGGAAUAUGUUUAUACCCUUCUUAGUGCUGGCAUUUACCAAGCAAAGAUGCCACUUGGAAAGGGUGAUUUAUUUUUUGCACCAUUAUAUUUUGAAAGACUUUCAGGUUACAAGAACCCUUUGAAGUUAAAGCCCGUGAUGUUAAGAUUAAUAACAGUAAUUAUAGGGCUCUGUAAUAGUAGAAAAAUCUGUUUCUUGCCUUUGAGAUUGAAUAUGAAAGGUUCCAGGUCCAAGGGAGUAAUAAAAGCUUUUUCUUUCUGCAAGGACAGCCAGGAACAGGAAGAAGUUUCUUCCUGGAAAAUACACAGGGGUGUUGAAUGUUCAAGUUUUUCUGAAGAUAAGGUGAUCCUCUGUAACCUGGCCCCAGGGACUACUUUAGGUCAUAAUCACUUUUGUUUGAUCUUUUUUGUUUUGCUUUGUUUAUAAUGUCAAUGCUCACCUGGGAAAUUAGGAUUGUUUUGACCCUUUCUCCCUUGCUGCAUACUUCAAAGUGUGCUCUGAUUUAAAAUGUUCUUCCUAGUAGCUGUGGAGAAAAUUGUCCCCCUAAAAAACCCUUUAAGUUCUUGUGAUAAUGAGAAAUGGCCAAAUUAAAUACUAUUCUAAUGAUUUUCUCCCAUUCACUAAACUUUUUAGGAAGCCCUUUGAGAGGAAGGAGAGGAAAAAGUAUAUGAUAAAUGAGGUGGAAAAAUUAGUGGGAAGUAAGUGAUAAUGAAUGAACAAGGGGUGAAGGGGAAAAUAUAAGCAAAAA
This 765-nucleotide long non-coding RNA is filed under the name Marmota monax (woodchuck). The record is from RNAcentral. Lineage: Eukaryota; Metazoa; Chordata; Mammalia; Rodentia; Sciuridae.